This 860-nucleotide long non-coding RNA is filed under the name Vigna radiata. RNAcentral describes it as "long non-coding RNA (VRAD_LNC002429)". Lineage: Eukaryota; Viridiplantae; Streptophyta; Magnoliopsida; Fabales; Fabaceae. The record is from RNAcentral.
GUGCAGUGUGAAAAUAGUGUCAAAAAAUUGGUGUUAAAAUUUCAUUUUCCAAGUUAGAAUGAAGGGAGAAAAAAGUGCUUAGCCUCACCUGUCCAAUAACUCGAGGUUCAGCAUGUGCUCUGGUGGACCUUCCUCAGACUUGGUCCGAACCUCCCCGCCAAAAAACGGCGCAAACAACACGUAACCUCGUACCCGAACCGGGUCCAUCUCGCUCGAACCGGACCCCAACCGAACCGCGAGGUGGUGGGCAAUGUUCCCGCCAGAGGAGUCACCGACGACAAACACGCGGUCAAAGUCAACGUCAGCACUCAGCCAGUCGUCCCCGCCGUUUUCAUCUUCCUUCAGCCUGAGUCCCUGCCUCUGGAGCCACCUCACCGCUUCCACAGCGUCGUCGACGGCCGACGGAAGGCGGUGUUCCGGGGCGAGGCGGUAGUCCGGCGAGAGGACGACCGCCUGGAGCCCUGCGGCGAGGCGCGUGCAACAGUUGUGAAUAUGGGGCCAGGUGCGCGAACCGAAGCAGAAGCCUCCACCGUGAAGGAAAAUGACAAUAGGAAGCUUGUUGGUGUGUUGGGGUUUGUAGAAGCGAAGAGAAAGGUUGAAUCUCUUGUGGAAGAGAUAGUCCUUGAAGGUUACAGAAUGAUCUUGAACUGCUGAUAUUUUGAACUGUAUAUCGUUUGAACGGAAAAUAGAACCGUCGCUAAAGAGUUGGAGAAACCCCAAACAGUCCUCUACUACGUGCGGGAGAGAACCCAUUGAUUCUACAGAUAUUACUAUAUAUCUUCUUCUGCAAUUUCCUUUCUUUCUCUCCAUAUCUAUAUAUAUAUAUAUAUAUAUAUAUACAACUCCACCAUCUCUACAAC